This 1344-nucleotide long non-coding RNA is filed under the name Homo sapiens (human). RNAcentral's name for it is "non-protein coding lnc-PSMA6-6:1". Lineage: Eukaryota; Metazoa; Chordata; Mammalia; Primates; Hominidae. The record is from RNAcentral.
ACUGUCAGCUCAGAACAAGGGAUCCAAAGAUGACCUUUCUUGUUUUCCAAAGACCUGCUGUCAGCUGAGGCCUUUCAAGGCCCUGUAUAUCCAUGGUGAAUUCCUGGAAGGCAGCUUGAAGUAACCACUGAAUGGGUUUGGUUUCUUUUUUUUUUUAAUUAUCUAAGCAAAGCACCUUUCUCCAAAAAGAGCAAAUUCACUUGUGGGUCACUUCCUGUGGGAAGAUGGAAAAUGUUCUUACUUGGGAGUAGAUGGGGAGAGCAGGCCCAGCUCCAAUAGCUUGCUGGUGCCACUGAGAUUCUUGAGCCUGGAGGAUCCUGGCUGACUUGCUCCAGACCUGGCGGAGGGUCUGUCUCAGUCACGGUUCUCCCCAGCGAUGACCGAGAACUGGUCCCAGUUCCUGACAUGCUGUGGGUCCAGUGUGACCCACAAUCUGCCUGGCCCAUCCCCUCGGCGGGCGCACCUCUCCUAGUGUAGGAUGAAGCAUAAAUGGCAGAAACCAGCAGGCGCCGCUUCUGUGUCCACCGAGUCAGCUGGGAUCCAUGCAGCUGGUGGCUUGUCGGUGGCAGGCCAAGGCCUGAGUCAUGUCCCCGUCACAGCCUUCAGUGGAGGGCUGACCCACAGAGGAAAUUACACAGCACUCUGUGGCCCAUGAUGGAGUCAGGGGCUUUUCCAAGGGCAUCAACUGGGAAGGCAGAAAGAAGUCAUCACCCACGCUGGAGUCUAAGGCUUGGGGACCCCCACUUACUCCAGGGGAGAAGGCCUGGUGACCUCGGGGACAGCGAGGCCUGUGCAAACCUCUUCCACAGCCCUCCACUGGCCAGCAGGGUGCCCACAGUCCCGACCCCUCUGUGACAGCGCUGCAUGCUCACCGAGCCAGCCUUGCCCCACAUGGUUCCUUGGGCUGCAGCCAGAAGUCCAUCCGCAGCCUUUUACCCAGAUCCACACCAGCCCCAACCCUCAGUCAGAAAACACAGCACCUCCAAUGGAGCCAGAGGCCACCCCUCUCAGAUAGCUGUGUGACUCUGGCAACUAAAUUCAACUCUGUGGGCAUCAGUCUCUUCAUCUGUAAAAUGGGUCUUGAACACGGGGCUUCAGUCUCUUCAUCUAUAAAAUGGGUCUUGAACACCUACCUGACCAACUUGUGGUGAAGAUGAAAUGAAACUAUGCAAAGGCCUGGCAUAGAGCCGGCACACAGUGGGUUCUCUGUACAUGGUCCUCGCUCUCAGCCUGCUCUGUUGCAAAAUCCAGGUUGGCACUACCCCCCAGGGCUCAGCCCUCAGCGUUAUCCCUUUCCUUCCCCAUACCCAGUCUCCCAACCCUUCGUGCAAGUGUGUGGUGGAG